RNAcentral lists this ribosomal RNA (465 nucleotides) under uncultured bacterium. RNAcentral describes it as "partial 16S ribosomal RNA". It matches the Rfam family "Bacterial small subunit ribosomal RNA", at positions 338 to 795 of the family's 1533-position model. The record is from RNAcentral.
CCUACGGGUGGCAGCAGUAGGGAAUCUUCCACAAUGGGCGAAAGUCUGAUGGAGCAACGCCGCGUGAGUGAAGAAGGUUUUCGGAUCGUAAAACCCUGUUGUUAGAGAAGAAAGUUAGUGAGAGUAACUGUCCACUUUUCGACGGUAUCUACUCAGAAAGUCACGGCUAACUACGUGCCAGCAGCCGCGGUAAUACGUAGGUGGCAAGCGUUGUCCGGAUUUAUUGGGCGUAAAGGGAGCGCAGGCGGUCGUAGAAGUCUGAUGUGAAAGCCUUCGGCUUAACCGGAGAAUUGCAUUGGAAACUGGGAGACUUGAGUGCAGAAGAGGAGAGUGGAACUCCAUGUGUAGCGGUGAAAUGCGUAGAUAUAUGGAAGAACACCAGUGGCGAAGGCGGCUCUCUGGUCUGUAACUGACGCUGAGGUUCGAAAGCGUGGGUAGCAAACAGGAUUAGAUACCCUUGUAGUC